CUGUGAAUAAAGUCGCUGUUCUGAUUUUGUAACAAUCAGGACAGACUAAACAUUUGCUGUAUUAAGACCACGCAUGUGGCCCCAGACCUAGUUCUUUCCCUGGGUCUGGUUUUAUAAAUGCUGGUAAUAAAC
Molecule: small nucleolar RNA, 132 nt
Organism: Eptesicus fuscus (big brown bat)
Lineage: Eukaryota; Metazoa; Chordata; Mammalia; Chiroptera; Vespertilionidae
Product: small nucleolar RNA SNORA72
Exons: 1
Source: RefSeq, a predicted model, not a curated record